This 97-nucleotide non-coding RNA is filed under the name Chloropicon primus. The record is from RNAcentral. Lineage: Eukaryota; Viridiplantae; Chlorophyta; Chloropicophyceae; Chloropicales; Chloropicaceae.
UUUUUUUUUUUUUUUUUUUUUUUUUUUUUUUUUUUUUUUAAAAAGAAAAAAAAAGGUUCAUACAUCAAUCGCGUUUACUGAAUUGACUUGUGCCCAU